This 353-nucleotide ribosomal RNA is filed under the name Reuplemmeles hobartensis. Its description in RNAcentral is "partial 12S ribosomal RNA". The record is from RNAcentral. Lineage: Eukaryota; Metazoa; Arthropoda; Insecta; Hemiptera; Cicadellidae.
AUACCCUAUUAUUUUUUUUUAAUAUUAAUUGAUUAUUAUUAGAUAUAUACUUUAAAAAUCAAAGAUUUUGGCGGUUAAUUAAUUCUUUUUAGAGGAACAUGUAUUUUAAUUGAUAAUCCACGAUAUUUUUUACCAAUUAUUUAUUUGUAUAUCUCUAUUGUUAGAAGGUUAUAUUAAUAAAUUUCUUUUUCUUUAUUUAGAUGAAUUUUAGGUCAAGGUGCAGUUAUUAAUUUGGUUUUUAUGUGUUAUUUUUAUUUUAAAAAAUUANAAUUCUUCUUGAUUGUUUUUUAGGAUUUAAUAGUAAAUUUAAUUAAUUAAUUAAUUUGAAUUAANUUCUAAUUAAUGUACACUUC